RNAcentral lists this long non-coding RNA (2143 nucleotides) under Homo sapiens (human). RNAcentral's name for it is "HSALNT0057787". Lineage: Eukaryota; Metazoa; Chordata; Mammalia; Primates; Hominidae. The record is from RNAcentral.
UGUGACUAAGCUUUAGACCACAUUAUACCAACACCAAAGGCACUCAACUCUACAAUGACCUACACAGCCUUUGAGGUUUUAGUAAAGGGAUAAAUAGUCAAGGAAUCUGAACCUAAAAGUUUACAUGAGGUUCCCUGUCUUAACCCACACAAUCCAGACUGCAAGAGAUGGUGAGACUGCUCAGCAGACUAUAUCAUAAGAGAAGUAAGCUGAGAAUAAUCAUGGAUAAGAAGACACAGGCACUGGACCCUCUGGCAUUGGCCAACAACCUAAAAUUCAAAAUCAGACCUCAGACAGAUUUAGACAUGAUUUGGGCUAGUGUAAAAUUCCAAAAGGGGGAAGUGCUGGAAGAGACACAAAAAAGAAAUCCUGCAACAUUAGUGAUACUUUUGGUCAGGAAGCACUGCAGCUCAUGACUCCCUAUAUAGCAGGAAAUACAGUUGGGGAGCAACUGACAGAGGCAGGGAAAAGGGCUAUGGAGUUUAUCUGAAAAGUGAAUAAGUCAAAUAUUAGAGCUAAGUCUAGUCUUGAGAGGUGACAAUAACAGAAAAGGGUGCUACUUGAUAGAUAUACAGAUGUCCAGAGAUCUAAUGACAAUGGAUCUUAGAGGCAACAAGACAAACUUAAGACCCUAUCAUCAACCCUGAUGGAAGAAGGGUCUCUAACACACAGUCAGGUUUGUCUUCAUUGGCUCCAAAAUUGGAUCUUCAGUAAUCUGCAGUUAGUGGCCUGGAGUAGGCAUUGAUCAGCACUUCCCCCAGUAGACAGAAGCUCAGAUGUCAUCCAGUGACCCUCACUUGAUGCUCAAAAAUUGAGUUCUCAUUUUCAGAACAAGAAUGUUAUUUUAUUUUAGUCCAUUCAGACGUCUAUAAUAAAAAUGUCAUAAACUGGGUGGCUUAUAAACAACAGAAAUUUAUUUUCACAGUUCUGCAGGCUAGAAAGUCCAAGAACAAGGCACCUGCAGAUUCAGUGUCUGGUGAGGUCCCAUUUCCUUAUAGACCAUGCCUUCUGGCUGUCUCUUCACUUGGUGGAAGGGGCAAAAAGCUCCCUUAAGCCUCUUUUAUAAAGACGCUAAUCCCAUUCAUGAGGGCUUUGCCCUAAUGACCCCAUCACCUCCUAAAAGCCCUACCUCUUAAUACUAUCACUUUGGAGAUUAGGUUUCAACAUAUAAACUUGAGGGAGGGAGACACAAACAUUCAGAUCAUGGAAAUCUUGGUGGCAUAUAAAUGCUCGUUCCAAAAAAUAAACUUAGUAAUAUAGAACAUAUUUACAGCAGUAAAUCAUUUGCUUUUCCCCCUCAUCUCAUUCUACCAAGACCACCAAGGCUGCCAAAAAAUGCAAAUAAGUUGUCUGCUUACGUUAUUGAUUGUUUAUUUUGCUGUUCAUAAGUAUGUUUAUUGGAGCACUAUUUACAAUAGCAAAGUCAUGGUGUCAACAAUGUGUCCACUGGAGAAAGAAAAUGUGGUGCAUAUACACCAUGGAACACUAUGCAGCUGUAAAAAAGAAUAAAACUGUGUCAUGUGCAUCAAAAUAGUUGGAACUGGAAGAAAUUACCCUAAAGAAGUAAGUCAAAAACAGAUACUCAAAUACAGCAUGUUCUCACUUAUAAGUGAGAGUUAAACAAUGGGUACAUAUGGACAUAAAGAUGGAAAUUAUAGACACUGAGGACUUCAAAAGGAGGGAAGCUAGAAUGGGAAUGAGGGUUGAAAAAUUGCCUGUUGGGUACAGUGUUUAUUAUUUUGGUAAUGGGUUCACUAGAAGCCCAAACUCCAGCAUUAGGAAAUAUAGCCAUGUAACAAAUCUUCACAUGUAUACCAUGAAUCUGAAAUAAAACAACAAAAUAAAAUAGAAAAUGCAAAUAGCAAACUGAGGAAUCUGAUUUGAAAUGAGCCGCUUUAGCUAUCUUUCUCUGCCUUCAUGUUGUAUAAUCUGGGGAGGUGUUGAUGGUUCAAUUAUCUGCACAUGGCCUUGGAGCUUUUUAUUUCAGUUUUUGGAGUCACAUUCAUUACCUCAUUUUAUUCACAAUGAUCUAACAUAGAUACCAAGAUAAUUAUUAUUAUCCCCAUUUUACAGAUUAGGAAACUAACUUGAAGAAGUACAAAGUAAUAAAUGCAAAUCUGUGCUUCAAUAGUACUAGGUAAAG